RNAcentral lists this ribosomal RNA (278 nucleotides) under uncultured eukaryote. RNAcentral's name for it is "partial 18S ribosomal RNA". It matches the Rfam family "Eukaryotic small subunit ribosomal RNA", at positions 21 to 298 of the family's 1831-position model. The record is from RNAcentral.
UAGUCAUAUGCUUGUCUCAAAGAUUAAGCCAUGCAUGUCUAAGUAUAAGCUUUUAUACGGUGAAACUGCGAAUGGCUCAUUAAAACAGUUAUAGUUUAUUUGAUGGUCUCUUUUACAUGGAUAACCAUGGUAAUUCUAUGGCUAAUACAUGCGCACUGGCCUCCUUCUCUGGAGGGGCUGUGUUUAUUAGAUACAAAACCAACCCACUUUGUGGAGUCGUGGUGAGUCAUAGUAACCGAACGGAUCGCAGUUGGCCUUUUCGGCCCGCGAUGGAUCUU